Molecule: ribosomal RNA, 465 nt
Filed under: uncultured soil bacterium
Lineage: Bacteria
Description: bacterial SSU rRNA
Rfam family: Bacterial small subunit ribosomal RNA
Source: RNAcentral
AGAUUGAACGCUGGCGGCAUGCCUUACACAUGCAAGUCGAACGGCAGCACGGACUUCGGUCUGGUGGCGAGUGGCGAACGGGUGAGUAAUAUAUCGGAACGUACCCUGGAGUGGGGGAUAACGCAGCGAAAGUUGCGCUAAUACCGCAUACGAUCUACGGAUGAAAGUGGGGGCUCGCAAGACCUCAUGCUCGUGGAGCGGCCGAUAUCUGAUUAGCUAGUUGGUAGGGUAAAAGCCUACCAAGGCAUCGAUCAGUAGCUGGUCUGAGGGGACGACCAGCCACACUGGGACUGAGACACGGCCCAGACUCCUACGGGAGGCAGCAGUGGGGAAUUUUGGGCAAGUGGGGGCAACCCUGAUCCAGCAAUGCCGCGUGAGUGAAGAAGGCCUUGGUUGAAGUCUCGUUUUGUCGAGGAAGAAACGGACGAAGGCUAAUAUCCUUUGACUAAUGACGGUACCUAGAAG